Molecule: ribosomal RNA, 507 nt
Filed under: Mucoromycotina sp.
Lineage: Eukaryota; Fungi; Mucoromycota
Description: SSU rRNA
Rfam family: Eukaryotic small subunit ribosomal RNA
Source: RNAcentral
GUAUGGUCGCAAGGCUGAAACUUAAAGGAAUUGACGGAAGGGCACCACCAGGAGUGGAGCCUGCGGCUUAAUUUGACUCAACACGGGGAAACUCACCAGGUCCAGACAUAGUAAGGAUUGACAGAUUGAGAGCUCUUUCUUGAUUCUAUGGGUGGUGGUGCAUGGCCGUUUCUUAGUUGGUGGAGUGAUUUGUCUGCUUAAUUGCGUUAACGAACGAGACCUUAACCUGCUAAAUAGUUAUGCCAACUUUUGUUGGUAGUCAACUUCUUAGAGGGACUGUCGGCGAUUAGCCGAUGGAAGUUUUAGGCAAUAACAGGUCUGUUAUGCCCUUAGAUGUCCUGGGCCGCACGCGCGCUACACUGAUGAAGUCAACGAGUUUAUAACCUUGGCCGGAAGGUCUGGGUAAUCUUUUGAAACUUCAUCGUGCUGGGGAUAGAGCAUUGCAAUUGUUGCUCUUCAACGAGGAAUUCCUAGUAAGCGUGAGUCAUCAGCUCGCGCUGAUUACGU